ACAGCAGCCGCCGCGGUAAUACGUAGGGUCCGAGCGUUGUCCGGAAUUACUGGGCGUAAAGAGCUCGUAGGUGGUUUGUCGCGUUGUUCGUGAAAACUCACAGCUCAACUGUGGGCGUGCGGGCGAUACGGGCAGACUGGAGUACUGCAGGGGAGACUGGAAUUCCUGGUGUAGCGGUGGAAUGCGCAGAUAUCAGGAGGAACACCGGUGGCGAAGGCGGCUUACUGGCUCGAAACUGACGCUGAGGCGCGAAAGCGUGGGGAGCAAACAGGAUUAGAUACCCCCGUAGUCCCUGUCUCUUAUAC
RNAcentral lists this ribosomal RNA (305 nucleotides) under uncultured bacterium. Its description in RNAcentral is "partial 16S ribosomal RNA". It matches the Rfam family "Bacterial small subunit ribosomal RNA", at positions 508 to 807 of the family's 1533-position model. The record is from RNAcentral.